Molecule: ribosomal RNA, 314 nt
Filed under: uncultured bacterium
Lineage: Bacteria
Description: bacterial SSU rRNA
Rfam family: Bacterial small subunit ribosomal RNA
Source: RNAcentral
AUUGAACGCUGGCGGCAUGCCUUACACAUGCAAGUCGAACGGCAGCACGGGAGCAAUCCUGGUGGCGAGUGGCGAACGGGUGAGUAAUAUAUCGGAACGUGCCCAGUCGUGGGGAUAACGUAGCGAAAGCUACGCUAAUACCGCAUACGAUCUAUGGAUGAAAGCGGGGGAUCGCAAGACCUCGCGCGAUUGGAGCGGCCGAUAUCAGAUUAGGUAGUUAGGUGAGGUAAAGGGCUCACCAAGCCGACGAGUCUGUAGCUGGUCUGAGAGGACGACCAGCCACACUGGGACUGAGACACGGCCCAGACUCCUAC